AUUGAACGCUGGCGGCAGGCCUAACACAUGCAAGUCGAGCGAGCGGCGGACGGGUGAGUAAUGUCUGGGAAACUGCCUGAUGGAGGGGGAUAACUACUGGAAACGGUAGCUAAUACCGCAUACCAUCCGAUUUGCCCAGAUGGGAUUGGCUCGUAGGUGGGGUAACGGCUCACCUAGGCGACGACCCCUCGCUGGUCUGAGAGGAUGACCGGCCAACCUGGAACUGGGACACGGUCCAGACCCCAACGGGAGGCAGCAGUGGGGAAUAUUGCACAAGGGGCGCAAGCCGGAUGCAGACAGGCCGGGUGUGGGAGGAAGGCCUUCGGGUGGUAAAGCACUUUCAGCGGGGAGGCGUUACCCGCAGAGGAAGCACCGGCUAACUCCGUGCCAGCAGCCGCGGUAAUAC
RNAcentral lists this ribosomal RNA (406 nucleotides) under uncultured bacterium. Its description in RNAcentral is "partial 16S ribosomal RNA". It matches the Rfam family "Bacterial small subunit ribosomal RNA", at positions 29 to 526 of the family's 1533-position model. The record is from RNAcentral.